GACGAACGCUGGCGGCGUGCUUAACACAUGCCAGUCGAACGGACAGGUCCUGCUCUUGUGGGGUUCUCGAGUGGCGAACGGGUGAGUAUCACGUGAGUAACCUGCCCUUGACUUUGGGAUAACUUCAGGAAACUGGGGCUAAUACCGGAUAGGAGCUCCUGCUGCAUGGUGGGCGUUGGAAAGUUUCGGCGGUUGGGGAUGGACUGGCGGCUUAUCAGCUUGUUGGUCUGGUAGUGGCUUACCAAGGCUUUGACGGGUAGGCGGCCUGAGAGGGUUGCCGGCCUCAAUGGGACUGAGAGAGGGAGCAGACGCCAACGGGAGGCAGCAGUGGGGAAUAUUGCGCAACGGGGGAAAGCGUGAGAUGGCAGUGCUGGGUGCGGGAUGCCGUCCUUCGGGUUAAAAACCGAUUUCGAAUGUGACGAAGCCUGAGUGACGGUAAUGGGUAAAGAAGCACCGGCUAACUACGUG
Molecule: ribosomal RNA, 468 nt
Filed under: uncultured bacterium
Lineage: Bacteria
Description: partial 16S ribosomal RNA
Rfam family: Bacterial small subunit ribosomal RNA
Source: RNAcentral